AAGAAAAUUUUGCUCUGCAUUACAUCACCCUUAAUUUUAAAUGAUAACAACUAGCCAACUUUUCAUUUUUUAGCUAAACAAAAGGCCGGAGAAAGAGUACCUAAGGGUGUGACCUAGUGGUCAAUGAAAUGGGUUGAAAACCAUAAAGAAUCAAGUUCAAAUUCUAGCGAACGAAAAAACACUUGGUGAUUUCUUGCUAAUAGUCCAAACUUUGAUAGACAAAUUUACCAGGCACUUGCACGAUUAUAAAAAAUAUUGGCGAAAGAAUAAGUACAAAACAAAACCCAAAAGCCAGAUGCAAACGAAAUAGGUAUAUAUUCAUAGAUUUUUGUGAUUUUGGCCCCGUGGUAUAGGAAACUCUGGUUUGUGG
RNAcentral lists this long non-coding RNA (370 nucleotides) under Nicotiana benthamiana. RNAcentral describes it as "long non-coding RNA (NBEN_LNC028196)". Lineage: Eukaryota; Viridiplantae; Streptophyta; Magnoliopsida; Solanales; Solanaceae. The record is from RNAcentral.